UACGAAGGGGGCUAGCGUUGCUCGGAAUCACUGGGCGUAAAGGGUGCGUAGGCGGGUCCUUAAGUCAGGGGUGAAAUCCAGGAGCUCAACUCCAGAACUGCCUUUGAUACUGAAGAUCUUGAGUUCGGGAGAGGUGAGUGGAACUGCGAGUGUAGAGGUGAAAUUCGUAGAUAUUCGCAAGAACACCAGUGGCGAAGGCGGCUCACUGGCCCGAUACUGACGCUGAGGCACGAAAGCGUGGGGAGCAAACAGG
Molecule: ribosomal RNA, 253 nt
Filed under: uncultured bacterium
Lineage: Bacteria
Description: partial 16S ribosomal RNA
Rfam family: Bacterial small subunit ribosomal RNA
Source: RNAcentral